UGGGGAAUAUUGGACAAUGGGCGCAAGCCUGAUCCAGCCAUGCCGCGUGUGUGAAGAAGGCCUUUUGGUUGUAAAGCACUUUAAGCGAGGAGGAGGCUACUUGGAUUAAUACUCUAGGAUAGUGGACGUUACUCGCAGAAUAAGCACCGGCUAACUCUGUGCCAGCAGCCGCGGUAAUACAGAGGGUGCGAGCGUUAAUCGGAUUUACUGGGCGUAAAGCGUGCGUAGGCGGCUUCUUAAGUCGGAUGUGAAAUCCCUGAGCUUAACUUAGGAAUUGCAUUCGAUACUGGGAAGCUAGAGUAUGGGAGAGGAUGGUAGAAUUCCAGGUGAAACGGUGAAAUGCGUAGAGAUCUGGAGGAAUACCGAUGGCGAAGGCAGCCAUCUGGCCUAAUACUGACGCUGAGGUACGAAAGCAUGGGGAGCAAACAGG
This 430-nucleotide ribosomal RNA is filed under the name Bacillota bacterium. RNAcentral's name for it is "Firmicutes bacterium partial 16S ribosomal RNA". It matches the Rfam family "Bacterial small subunit ribosomal RNA", at positions 355 to 776 of the family's 1533-position model. Lineage: Bacteria; Bacillati; Bacillota. The record is from RNAcentral.